UCGACCUAUGCUUAGGACGGUUCGGGGGUGUUACAGACGGGGUGGCUGCUUUGUUGAGCCAUCCCACGGAAUCGAGAGCUCUAAGUUGGCUAUUUUUGGUAAGCAGAACUGGCGAUGCGGGAUGAACCGGAAGCCGGGUUACGGUGCCCAACUGCGCGCUAACCUAGAACCCACAAAGGUUGUUCGUCGAUUAAGACAGCAGGACGGUGGUCAUGGAAGUCGAAAUCCGCUAAGGAGUGUGUAACAACUCACCUGCCGAAUCAACUAGCCCCGAAAAUGUAUGGCGCUGAAGCGCGCGACCUAUACCCGGCAGUCGGGGCAAGAGCCAGGCCGCGACACACGGUCGCUGCAAAACCUAGGGCGCGAGCCCGGGUGGAGCGGCCGUCGGUA
This 390-nucleotide non-coding RNA is filed under the name Brassica napus (rape). Its description in RNAcentral is "rRNA LSU_rRNA_eukarya". It matches the Rfam family "Eukaryotic large subunit ribosomal RNA", at positions 1047 to 1444 of the family's 3401-position model. Lineage: Eukaryota; Viridiplantae; Streptophyta; Magnoliopsida; Brassicales; Brassicaceae. The record is from Rfam by way of RNAcentral.